CCUACGGGCGGCUGCAGUGGGGAAUAUUGGACAAUGGGGGGAACCCUGAUCCAGCCAUGCCGCGUGUGUGAAGAAGGCCUUUUGGUUGUAAAGCACUUUAAGCGAGGAGGAGGCUACUCUAGUUAAUACCUAGGGAUAGUGGACGUUACUCGCAGAAUAAGCACCGGCUAACUCUGUGCCAGCAGCCGCGGUAAUACAGAGGGUGCGAGCGUUAAUCGGAUUUACUGGGCGUAAAGCGUGCGUAGGCGGCUUUUUAAGUCGGAUGUGAAAUCCCUGAGCUUAACUUAGGAAUUGCAUUCGAUACUGGGAAGCUAGAGUAUGGGAGAGGAUGGUAGAAUUCCAGGUGUAGCGGUGAAAUGCGUAGAGAUCUGGAGGAAUACCGAUGGCGAAGGCAGCCAUCUGGCCUAAUACUGACGCUGAGGUACGAAAGCAUGGGGAGCAAACAGGAUUAGAUACCCCUGUAGUC
RNAcentral lists this ribosomal RNA (466 nucleotides) under uncultured Acinetobacter sp. Its description in RNAcentral is "bacterial SSU rRNA". It matches the Rfam family "Bacterial small subunit ribosomal RNA", at positions 338 to 795 of the family's 1533-position model. Lineage: Bacteria; Pseudomonadati; Pseudomonadota; Gammaproteobacteria; Moraxellales; Moraxellaceae. The record is from RNAcentral.